RNAcentral lists this ribosomal RNA (419 nucleotides) under uncultured bacterium. RNAcentral describes it as "bacterial SSU rRNA". It matches the Rfam family "Bacterial small subunit ribosomal RNA", at positions 28 to 409 of the family's 1533-position model. The record is from RNAcentral.
GAUGAACGCCGGCGGUGUGCCUAAUACAUGCAAGUCGUACGCAUUGGCCCAACUGAUUGAUGGUGCUUGCACCUGAUUGACGAUGGAUCACCAGUGAGUGGCGGACGGGUGAGUAACACGUAGGUAACCUGCCCCGGAGCGGGGGAUAACAUUUGGAAACAGAUGCUAAUACCGCAUAACAACAAAAGCCACAUGGCUUUUGUUGAAAGAUGGCUUUGGCUAUCACUCUGGGAUGGACCUGCGGUGCAUUAGCUAGUUGGUAAGGUAACGGCUUACCAAGGCGAUGAUGCAUAGCCGAGUUGAGAGACUGAUCGGGCCACAAUGGAACUGAGACACGGUCCAUACUCCUAUGGGAGGCAGCAGCAAGGAAUUUUCGGGCAAUGGGCGCAAGCCUGACCGAGCAACGCCGCGUGCGGGAU